This 442-nucleotide ribosomal RNA is filed under the name uncultured bacterium. RNAcentral's name for it is "partial 16S ribosomal RNA". It matches the Rfam family "Bacterial small subunit ribosomal RNA", at positions 338 to 795 of the family's 1533-position model. The record is from RNAcentral.
CCUACGGGAGGCAGCAGUGGGAAUAUUGGGCAAUGGGCGCAAGCCUGACCCAGCAACGCCGCGUGAAGGAAGAAGGCUUUCGGGUUGUAAACUUCUUUUCUCAGGGACGAAGCAAGUGACGGUACCUGAGGAAUAAGCCACGGCUAACUACGUGCCAGCAGCCGCGGUAAUACGUAGGUGGCAAGCGUUAUCCGGAUUUACUGGGGGGAAAGGGCGUGUAGGCGGGAAAGCAAGUCAGAUGUGAAAGCCAUGGGCUCAACCUGUGGCCUGCAUUUGAAACUGUUUUUCUUGAGUACUGGAGAGGCAGACGGAAUUCCUGGUGUAGCGGUGAAAUGCGUAGAUAUUAGGAGGAACACCAGUGGCGAAGGCGGUCUGCUGGACAGCAACUGACGCUGAGGCGCGAAAGCGUGGGGAGCAAACAGGAUUAGAUACCCUAGUAGUC